CCUACGGGUGGCAGCAGUGAGGAAUAUUGGUCAAUGGGCGCGAGCCUGAACCAGCCAAGUCGCGUGAAGGAUGAAUGCCCUACGGGUUGUAAACUUCUUUUAUAAAGGAAUAAAGUGAGGCACGUGUGACUUUUUGUAUGUACUUUAUGAAUAAGGAUCGGCUAACUCCGUGCCAGCAGCCGCGGUAAUACGGAGGAUCCGAGCGUUAUCCGGAUUUAUUGGGUUUAAAGGGAGCGUAGGUGGGUCGUUAAGUCAGUUGUGAAAGUUUGUGGCUCAACCAGAAAAUUGCAUUUGAUACUGGUCGCCUUGAGUAUAGUUGAGGUAGGCAGAAUUCGUGGUGUAGCGGUGAAAUGCUUAGAUAUCACGAAGAACUCCGAUGGCGAAGGCAGCCUACUAAACUAACACUGACACUGAGGUGCGAAAGUGUGGGGAUCAAACAGGAUUAGAUACCCUAGUAGUC
This 460-nucleotide ribosomal RNA is filed under the name uncultured bacterium. RNAcentral's name for it is "partial 16S ribosomal RNA". It matches the Rfam family "Bacterial small subunit ribosomal RNA", at positions 338 to 795 of the family's 1533-position model. The record is from RNAcentral.